Molecule: long non-coding RNA, 713 nt
Filed under: Brassica napus (rape)
Lineage: Eukaryota; Viridiplantae; Streptophyta; Magnoliopsida; Brassicales; Brassicaceae
Description: long non-coding RNA (BNAP_LNC019835)
Source: RNAcentral
AACACGAACCUAACAAUCGCUUUUGAGUCACUGAUCUGGCCAUGCCCUUCCUCAAAGAUAUGGAAAGUUGAAUCCUCGUCGUCGUGUACCAACAAGCGUUAUGUAACGACUGGUGGUAGCUCUAGCAGGAAAGAUAGCUUUUUUAGGAUUCAGAAAUAUGGAAACGAACAAAAUACUUACAAGCUCGUUCAUUACCAGAGUUACUCGGCUAUAAACGGUAUUAAGAGUGUUGGUACCACCACCAGCUUUUACGGUGACCCCAUACUUGUUCUUAACGAUGAUGAUGACGAUAACAAUGCCUUUCCAGUUAAGUUCCGUAAGGUUGAGACAUCCACGGAUAAUUUAUUUCAGAAUUUUAGUCUAAGAAUGCUUCUGAGACUGGUGUUUAAUAAGUUGUAUUAUGGAAAAUAAUGGGUGGAAACAGCAUAUCAACCAACUAAAUGUAAUGAAAAGUUAUAUAUGUAUUUGUCAUUUAUGAAGUGUCCUUUUCUUAGAAACCAAACUCAAGCAAAGCAUACGCCAAAUCUGCGCAUAACCUCUUCUUAUUCCAGAUAUCUCAAUCUUUGAUUGCUCGAUCAUACUUAAUAAGGAAUUUAUCAGUUAACACAAGUACAAUCUCUAUGCGUUGAUUAAUCUUUCGGUGAAAAAGCUAUAGAAACGCGUUUUUAGGCUAAUAAAUUGAAGAAAUGAAGCAAUUCCUAACCGGGCUUUUU